GAUAUAGAUAACAACAAUUUUUGGCUUGCCAAACCAUUGCACGAUCUAUGACCAUGGCUGUACCAACCAUAGUGGUCAUAUCAGAUAUUUUAUAGUCACGACAGUACUUAGUCAAAGGUCCCUUAAGAGAUAUUCGCGUCAUCACUCUCGUCAUGAUGGACCAUUAUGGUUGGUAUGGUCGUGGUCAUAUAUCGUACCCUGGUUUGGUAAGCUAGAAAUGUGCCU
Molecule: long non-coding RNA, 225 nt
Filed under: Carica papaya (papaya)
Lineage: Eukaryota; Viridiplantae; Streptophyta; Magnoliopsida; Brassicales; Caricaceae
Description: long non-coding RNA (CPAP_LNC003636)
Source: RNAcentral